UACGUAGGGAGCAAGCGUUGUCCGGAAUCAUUGGGCGUAAAGCGCGCGUAGGCGGCCCUGUAAGUCCGUUGUGAAAGUCAAAGGCUCAACCUUUGAAAGCCGAUGGAUACUGCAGGGCUAGAGUUCGGAAGAGGCGAGUGGAAUUCCUGGUGUAGCGGUGGAAUGCGUAGAUAUCGGGAGGAACACCUGUGGCGAAAGCGGCGCACUGGACCACAACUGACGCUGAGGCGCGAAAGCUAGGGGAGCAAACAGG
Molecule: ribosomal RNA, 253 nt
Filed under: uncultured bacterium
Lineage: Bacteria
Description: partial 16S ribosomal RNA
Rfam family: Bacterial small subunit ribosomal RNA
Source: RNAcentral